GUGAGGGCGACCGAGCGUGGGGAGGAAGCGCGGAGCGUAAAUCGUGAGCCGAUGAACAAGAACCGCAUAGAAGGCGCUGCCGAGCAGGGCAAGCGGGCCAGUAACCGCGAAGCUCUUGUGACCAAGGCGAGGCGGCGUAGAUGCGGCGGUUGUGCGGUGAAGGAGUGCGUUC
Molecule: non-coding RNA, 172 nt
Organism: Azotobacter vinelandii DJ
Lineage: Bacteria; Pseudomonadati; Pseudomonadota; Gammaproteobacteria; Pseudomonadales; Pseudomonadaceae
Source: Rfam